Molecule: long non-coding RNA, 930 nt
Filed under: Danio rerio (zebrafish)
Lineage: Eukaryota; Metazoa; Chordata; Actinopteri; Cypriniformes; Danionidae
Description: lncRNA (ENSDARG00000117267.1)
Source: RNAcentral
GCUUAGCUCAUUCGUUCAAGUUCCAAAAGGAAUCAUACGACCUUUUCACUCACACAACGACUCGCUAAUUAACUGAAUCGUUUAAAGCGGUUCUUCUGAACUUCCUCGUGGAGCAGAACGCAGAAACUUUGUGGACAAAAAUUACAAAAGGAGCGCUGGAUAAAGUAAAUAUUGACCAGCAAUGCAUUGAAAAAACACAAUACGUUUGAUGACAGCGAUGAAGAAGUUAUGAAGUUCAACACCUGCAAGCAACUUGACCACACAGAAGACUCGGAGCAAGACAGAACAGAGAGCGCUUAGAUCACCGGCUCUCUGAAGACACCGGUACGAGCCAAGCUGAGAUGUGCUACCACAGGAGGAGAUAUUUUGAUUAUUCUGAAAGCUUGACAGUUUCAGGUAAAUGCCUGGAGUCAAAAGUCUGGCUAGAGUCUGUUACAUCCCUUUCGAGCUUGUUGAGACUCAGGCAGGGCAUGACUACAUAAUGGUUAUGUCAUUAUGUAGUCAUGGCCAUAUGACAUUUAAAGUGUCUCUGCCUGUCAGCCAGUCUCUGAGUGUCUGGCAGCAAAACAAGGCAGUAAUGUGUAUUUAUAGAGCAGUGGCCAUGCGGAGCGCACAGGGCUGAAUGGAGGCGUGUGUCCGAUGUGAUUGCUUGACCCUUGGUUGAAGGAAAGAGUUGACUGACAUCUUCAGGCAUUGACUAUAAGAAGGCCCUUUACUUUUAGCGCAAAUGGAGUUUCCUUUUUGAGCCACCAAGACAGUAUGUAGUGGUCAGGAUUUUUGUCUGUAUGUGACUACUGCACAUGGUGAGUUGCACUUGCUGUUUGUGGAACUUCCAUUCAGUAAAACUAAAACAAAUAAAUGAAAUCCAAAUGUACUUUUUCUAUUUGUAUACAGAAUGUACAGAUAAAAAUCAGACUUAUUAGCCCACCG